CAGAGAACCAGAAUGAGACACAGAGAGGCACACUGAAGCUGCCUCCUUAUCAUCUCUUCUGGAGAAAGCACAAUAGUCUAAGAGACUCUCUCAGUGUUGCUGUCUUCCUGAGGCCAUAAGUGGAGUGUACCAGUCAUCAGUUAUGGAUGAAGAUAAGUCCAAGGCCAGUCCCUGCAUAUUAGAUGUAACUAUGGAGGAAGAGACAAAUGAAGAGUUAACACCCAUCAAGCCUAGCAUAUCAGAUGUAGAUAUGGAAGAGGUGGCAAAUGAAGAGUUAAAACCCAUCAGUCCUAGCACAUCAGAUGUAGACAUGGAGGAAGAACCAAACAAAGAGAUAAAACCUCACAAGAUCUCUCGUAACAUCCUGGUGUACUUAAUCAAUAGGCAGCUGGGUAGACCCACAAGGGAUAUGGAUCUGUCCCAGUGGGUGUGGAUGUUGAUGUGAGAAACUAGGGAGGAGUGGGUCUUGCCAACAGUCACGUGAUUUACUUAUGUCUACUUGAAUUGAAAAAGAUUUGAACACCUCCUAAAAUGUUUCAACCAAUAAAAAAAACUUUCUAAAUUCA
Molecule: long non-coding RNA, 566 nt
Organism: Chinchilla lanigera (long-tailed chinchilla)
Lineage: Eukaryota; Metazoa; Chordata; Mammalia; Rodentia; Chinchillidae
Exons: 2
Source: RefSeq, a predicted model, not a curated record